UGCAGUCGACGAUUAAACUUUCCUUCGGGAAAGAUAUAAAGUGGCGCACGGGUGAGUAACACGUAAGUAAUCUACCUUCGAGUGGGGAAUAACGUCCGGAAACGGACGCUAAUACCGCAUAAUGCAGCGGCAUCGCAAGAUGACAGUUGUUAAAGAUUUAUCGCUUGAAGAGGAGCUUGCGGCAGAUUAGCUUGUUGGUAAGGUAACGGCUUACCAAGGCUACGAUCUGUAUCCGGUCUAAGAGGACGGUCGGACACACUGACACUGAAUAACGGGUCAGACUCCUACGGGAGGCAGCAGUCGGGAAUUUUGGGCAAUGGGGGAAACCCUGACCCAGCAACGCCGCGUGAAGGAUGAAGUAUUUCGGUAUGUAAACUUCGAAAGAAUAGGAAGAAUUAAUGACGGUACUAUUUAUAAGGUCCGGCUAACUACGUGCCAGCAGCCGCGGUAAUACGUAGGGACCAAGCGUUGUUCGGAUUUACUGGGCGUAAAGGGCGCGUAGGCGGCAUUGUUAGUCACUUGUGAAAUCUCCGGGCUUAACUCGGAACGGCCAAGUGAUACUGCAGUGCUAGAGUGCGGAAGGGGCAAUCGGAAUUCUUGGUGUAGCGGUGAAAUGCGUAGAUAUCAAGAGGAACACCAGAGGUGAAGACGGGUUGCUGGGCCGACACUGACGCUGAGGCGCGAAAGCCAGGGGAGCAAACGGGAUUAGA
This 710-nucleotide ribosomal RNA is filed under the name uncultured Acidobacteriota bacterium. RNAcentral describes it as "bacterial SSU rRNA". It matches the Rfam family "Bacterial small subunit ribosomal RNA", at positions 56 to 782 of the family's 1533-position model. The record is from RNAcentral. Lineage: Bacteria; Pseudomonadati; Acidobacteriota.